AGCGUAAGUGGGAAAGGGGCAGAGAGAGAGAGAGGGAGACACGGAAUCCAAAGCAGGCGCCAGGCUCUGAGCUGUCAGCACAGAGCCCGACGCGGGGCUUGAAUCCACGAACUGCGAGAUCAUGAAUGACCUGAGCUGAAGUUUGACACUUAAUCGACUGAGUCACCCAGGAGCCUCCUUUUAUAUUUAAAAAAAAAAAUGUAUGAUAAUUCUUUCCAUUACUGCGCUUUUAGUUUAUGUUGGCCAUUAUAAAAUGGUUAGAUAAUACUAGAGGGAAGCACUUAUUUUUUCUACUUCUUGCUUUGAAUCUUUCACCCCUUUGAAGAGGCACAGCCCCACCUUUCUUUUGUAAUUUGUUGCAACUAUCGGAAUUUGAUGAUUUGUCAGUAAGCAGGCAACCUUACUGCUGAUAAUAAACAAAGUGGAAGACCAUAUUUCACAAAGAGGAAAGGAAAGGACAAAGAAAAAGGGCAAAAUGAAAGGAACAAGUAGCUGUGGGUUGAGGAAAGGUGAAAGACAUGAAGUAUUCUGAGAAAUAGCUAUCCUACAAACAUGGAGAAAGUUUGGGUACUUGGGUAUUGACGCCACAGCCUCAUGACUCAGAUUUUCUUCCAUAAUUUCUCUUGCGCCCCAGACAGCCCUGUGUUCUGAAGCUUCCUCUAUAUUUUCCAGAUUUCCUAGCCUAAAGAGAAAGAACAAUAGUAACAUUUGCAUUUACUUAAGGCUUUGGAAAAAAUCAAAGUGAAAAUAAAAGUAACCUUCAAGGAGCGUCUGCAUGGAAUAACUGACUCAGCUAUUUUGGCCAAGCUUGUCUUUUUUUGGUCCUUAUUUUCAGGGCAGCGAUUGCAAUAUUUUCAAACAGGGCAGGGCGGAAUGGUGAGACUGUCAAAUGAAUCUUUCUGCGAAAGGAGACAUCCACAAGCUGAAAAGACGAUUGAUUCGGGCUAGGGGAAAGGACUUGAAUCUGAAAUAGCAUCCCUGUCAGUUCUGUUCUGUCCUGGGAAGUAUACAAGGAAGCAAAACCUCCGUGGAAGAGAAGGGAGGCAUCAGGCGCUGGAGGUGAAAGUCUGUGGCAACGAGUAUAUCUUAACUGAAAACUUAAAUCAACAGAUAGGAAUAGAACUAUUACUAUUACGAAAUCCACCUGGAUGCUUGAAGGACAUAGGAAAGGAUGAGCUAUUACGGCAGCAGCUAUCCGAUUGUAAACGUGGACCCCAAAUACCCAGGCUACCCCCCAGAGCACAUCAUAGCUGAGAAGACAAGAGCCAGAAGACGUCUGCUCCACAAAGAUGGCAGCUGUAAUGUGUACUUCAAGCACAUUUUUGGAGAAUGGGGGAGCUACGUGGUUGACAUUUUCACCACCCUCGUAGAUACCAAGUGGCGGCACAUGUUUGUGAUAUUUUCUUUAUCCUAUAUUCUCUCCUGGUUGAUAUUUGGCUCUAUCUUCUGGCUCAUUGCCUUUCAUCACGGUGAUCUGUUAAAUGAUCCACACAUCACACCUUGUGUUGACAACGUCCAUUCCUUCACAGGGGCGUUUUUAUUCUCCCUGGAAACCCAGACCACCAUAGGUUACGGUUACCGCUGUGUCACUGAAGAAUGCUCUGUGGCCGUGCUCACGGUGAUCCUUCAGUCCAUCUUGAGCUGCAUCAUAAAUACCUUCAUCAUUGGAGCCGCCUUAGCCAAAAUGGCAACUGCUCGAAAGAGAGCCCAAACCAUUCGGUUUAGCUAUUUUGCACUCAUAGGGAUGAGGGAUGGGAAACUCUGCCUCAUGUGGCGCAUUGGUGACUUCCGACCAAACCACGUGGUAGAAGGCACAGUGAGAGCCCAACUUCUCCGCUACACAGAAGACAGCGAAGGGCGGAUGACGAUGGCCUUUAAAGACCUAAAGUUGGUGAAUGAUCAGAUCAUUCUUGUCACACCAGUAACUAUUGUUCAUGAAAUUGACCAUGAGAGCCCUCUGUAUGCCCUUGACCGAAAAGCAGUGGCCAAAGAUAACUUUGAGAUUUUGGUGACAUUUAUCUAUACUGGUGAUUCCACGGGGACUUCCCACCAAUCCAGAAGUUCCUACGUUCCCCGAGAAAUUCUCUGGGGCCACAGGUUCAAUGACGUCCUGGAAGUUAAGAGAAAGUAUUACAAGGUGAACUGCUUACAGUUUGAGGGGAGCGUGGAAGUCUAUGCUCCCUUCUGCAGUGCCAAACAACUGGACUGGAAAGACCAGCAGCUCCACAACAUGGAAAAAACCCCUCCGGUCCGAGGACCCGGCCCGUCAGACACCAAGGUCAGAAGAAGGUCAUUUAGCGCGGUUGCCAUUGUCAGCAGUUGUGAAAACCCGGAGGAGACCACCACCUCGGCCACGGAUGAGUCAAAGUAAAGGGGUUCUAAGAGAAGCAGGAUCAUUAUCCAGCAACGACCCAUCACGACCAAUCAAGCCGCAGCUAACUGAACCCGGAAAAACUGCUGACUUACAAGGUGCUGGGCCCCAUGAGUCUGCAAAGCACCCAGAAGACUGAGAACCACGCUUCAUGUGCCAGAAAAGACAUGUUGCAACUCAUCUGGGAUGAAGGAAAAACCAUUCUUUCUCUUUAAGAGUUCAUUAGAUUAAAACAACUAUGCAAAAACAAACAGAAGAAAUAUAUAAUGAUGUCAUAUUGAAUGUCACAGACUGAAACCACCCAGGUCAUGGAGAACUAAGGUAAUAACUCAUAUUUAAUUCUGUUUACAUCUUAAUCAUUUACAUUAUAUGACUUUCAGAGGACUUACAUUCAUGCGGAAAUUUUGAAAACAGAUUAUAACUAUUUUAUUUCUAGUAGACAAAGUUAAGAGGGCCAAUAGCAUCAGAUAAAAUGUCUGCCAUUUUAGUUUGACCAAAGAGAUCACAGAAAAGUAACUUUGGACAGAACCUUAAAGAAACUCUUGUUCAUCCCCCUCUUCCAAGUUUGUAGAAUAAAAACAGGAUGAAAUAAGAUAAUUCAUUUUUAGUCACAAAUUUUUGGUGAACAAUAUUUAACCCCAAAGAUCAUUAGAAUCUUUUUUAAUAAAAAGAUAUUUAAAUUAAAUAUAAAGGAUUUGAGGGAAUCCUAUAUUGUUUGACAGAAUUAGUAUUACCAUUACCAUUUCAUUAGAAUAGAUUCUGAAGCUCACAAUUCCAUUGAAAUCAAUGGGCUGGCUUUAUUUCUCCCUUAAUUUUCUUCCUGCAAUUUCUUAGGAAAUGCAAUAAUUUAUUAGUUUUUAAAUCCCAUCAUUACCAUAUUUGAUUUUUCUCUCUGUUGUGUUUUCCUUUAAUUGAUUCCUGGAGGCAAUUCGGAAAUUUUUAUCCACACCACAUGUUUUGAAUGGCUAAUUGUUCUCUAUGGAAGCAUAGCCAUUAUGCUACUAUCUAAUUACAUUAAGAAAAAUUAAUGUCAGAUGACAAAUCUAUCAGCAACAAGCUCCCUGAGAAUCAAUAUUUUCAGGAAGAUUUUCACAUCCUAGAAUCUGGUUUUCAGGGUCAAUGUGUGGAGUUAGCACUUUUUAUUAGUAGUAGUAUGAUGUCAAACCAGGGGCAGGAGAGUUAACGAGAGGAUGUGUUCCCACCUCUCUCCUUUUUAAAGGAAGUACUCAAAUGGGCAGAAGUCUAAAGCCCUAUUUACUUAAUACUGAGCUUCUGAUACUAAAACAAACCGACAAGAGAACUCUUAUAGAAUAGGCUCAAAUUAGGCUUCUAGGCAUGUCUAGUGGUGUUCAGGGAGAAAAGACCAAACUUCUAUCAAUUCUUAGAAAUUUUUAGUAGGAACUAUUCUUGGUGACUUUGUACUUCAUUCCUCCAAGGAAUUUACCAGAAUUUGCGUUCUGUGAGGCUCGGGGGAUAAAAGGUGCAUACUGAAUUAUGUUGAAAACGUGCAUUCUGCUUCUUACUUUUUUCUCGUUAAACCCAGGAAGGAAAUCUCACCUAGCCUCACCAGUGAACUUAUAUUGGUUUGGUUUAGAACUCUUUCUGUAUUCACUUAUUUAGCAGCUAAUGAACAAAAUGUUAUAUGAAUGAUUGAUUUAGUUGUGUUUCUAGACAGAUUAAAAAAAUGUUCCCUAAUGAGUAUAGAAAUAUGAUUUCAAAGUCUGCAUGCACUCGAAGAGCAUUUACCCAAUAUUCUUUGUAGUCACCUCAGCAAAUGAAAGAUCAGAUUGACAUCUUGGCCUUAAUAAAGACAAAAUUUUAAUAAAAAAGGAAUGGCAUCUUCUUUUUAGUUUCAAAAUUAUAUCACGCAUUAGGUUUUGUUCUUGAUUAUGAAAUAAUAAAUAUUUAGAGAAAAAUGAGAAAAUGCCAAUACACAAACGUAAGACAAUAAAAAUAAAUUAUAACCACAUCUACUAGGUCAUUGUUAAAUUUUACAUAUAAUAUUAUGUGAAUAACUAUAUUAUCUUAUACGUAUGUGAUAUGUACAUAUAUAUAUGAUGUUAAAGCUGAGAUACGGGAGCCUGACCCAUCAAAAAUGGCAUGGGGCCCCCAGCACACCAUCUGUAGGAUACCCAUCUCCAAAUGAUUUUACAUGAAGGAGAAAUAGGUCUCCAUUUUUUAAUAUAUUGAUAUAUUGAAUUUUUCCAUUGCAGGCAACUAUAGCAAACCUGAAUUUAUACAAUAAUUUUGGCCUAUUUGGCUCAUUAUGGGUUAUUUUGCAUUAUUUCUCAUUUAAAAAAAUUAUGAAUUGAACUGUUACUUAUCUUGAUUACUGGUUUCUCUUUUGUGCCUCUUAAAGUUCACAUUUGAUGUGUGUAGUCCUUGUCACAUCCCAAUCCUAGCACCGAAGACAAAUAUAGACAGCGGUGCAGAUCUAAGAACUGAUUUAAACAUCAAGAGUUUCUUUUCUCAACAAAAUGGAAUCAUAUAAUACAAUCUGCAUUCAAAGUUCAGUCUUUAAACAUUUUCCAUGACACAACAUUUUUUGCAAAUAACCCAUUUUCUUCUAUUAUUUAUUGUUUUUUAUAUUUUUCAAUCACUAAACACUCUUUUUAAGUUUAUUUAUUUAUUGUGAGAGAGCAAGAGAGCAUGAGCAGGGCAGGGGCAGAGAGAGAGAGAGAGGGUGAGAGAAUCUAAAACAGGCUCUGUGCUGUCAUCGCAGAGCCCGGUGCAAACCUUGAACGCACGAACCAUGAGAUCAUGACCUGGCCAAAAUGGAGAGUCAGAUGCUUAACCAACCGAGUCACCCAGGUGCCCAUCACUAAAUACUCUUAUGUGCAACACUUAGCAGUUGCUAACGAGGUCAAAUUCAAGAUUUGUUGAAGCAACACAAAGGGAAAUACAUGUCUGAUAGUUUCACAGACUCUCUGGUCCCCUAUGGAUCAGCAAGCAUAAAACAGGUUAGCGGUGGAUUUGCAAAAAUCAAUCUCCAUGGAGGCAGUUUUGACAUUCAUUGAUUUUUUAAAAAUUUUCUUUUAAUCUUUAUUUAGUUUUGAGAAAGAGAGAAAGAGAGAGAGAGAGAGAGGGAGGCAGAGUGCAAGCGGGGCAGGACUAGAGAGAGGGAGAUACAGAAUCUGAAUCUGAAGCAGGCUCCAAGCUCUGAGCUGUCAGCACAGAGCCCUAUGAUGCGGGGCUUGAACUCACAAACUGCGAGAUCAUGACCUGAGCCUAAGUCAGACACUUAACCAACUGAGCCGCCCAGGUGCCCCCCCCAUUUGUUGAUUUUUAAAGGAUUGCUAUUAACAGUAACCUUAAUUUUAUUUUAUGAGUCUACUUGGAAGACACUUAAUUUUGACAUGUAAGUUGACAUUUGUCAACUAUCAUUA
Molecule: RNA transcript, 5757 nt
Organism: Acinonyx jubatus (cheetah)
Lineage: Eukaryota; Metazoa; Chordata; Mammalia; Carnivora; Felidae
Gene: KCNJ16
Gene name: potassium inwardly rectifying channel subfamily J member 16
Exons: 5
Source: RefSeq, a predicted model, not a curated record